UACGUAGGUGGCAAGCGUUGUCCGGAUUUACUGGGCGUAAAGGGCGUGCAGGCGGUCUGUUAAGUCUAGGGUGAAAGCUCCCGGCUCAACUGGGAGAGGUCCUUGGAUACUGGCGGACUUGAGGGAGGUAGAGGAAAGUGGAAUUCCCGGUGUAGUGGUGAUAUGCGUAGAUAUCGGGAGGAACACCAGUGGCGAAGGCGGUUGCCUGGAGCUUUGCUGACGCUGAUGCGCGAAAGCGUGGGGAGCGAUCCGG
Molecule: ribosomal RNA, 253 nt
Filed under: uncultured bacterium
Lineage: Bacteria
Description: partial 16S ribosomal RNA
Rfam family: Bacterial small subunit ribosomal RNA
Source: RNAcentral